Pogona vitticeps (central bearded dragon) is the source of this 270-nucleotide non-coding RNA. Lineage: Eukaryota; Metazoa; Chordata; Lepidosauria; Squamata; Agamidae. The record is from RefSeq and is a predicted model, not a curated record.
GAAACUGGCAGCGAUGUUUCAGGGGCAGGGUGCCUGCUUCUGCCGUUCCCUAAGAUCUCAGAGUUACACAACCUGAAAUCAGGAGGGAAGGCAAACGAGGUGCCCCAAGGGGAACAGAUGGCAUGCUGGAAACCACCAGCAAGACUCAGUCCUGGAAUAGAUUUUCACCUUCAGGCUCUGCACAGAGUCCUGUUCAGGUAUUGCAGACUUCAGGCCACAGUUUCCCUGAUACAGUCAAACCCUCUCACCAUGUGAAGGUGUGCAUCCAAG